This is a long non-coding RNA of Sitodiplosis mosellana (orange wheat blossom midge), 4310 nucleotides long. RefSeq lists it as uncharacterized. NCBI's taxonomy places the organism in Eukaryota, Metazoa, Arthropoda, Insecta, Diptera, Cecidomyiidae. The transcript has 4 exons. The record is from RefSeq and is a predicted model, not a curated record.
AGUAAAAGUAUUGCAUUCGUGAAGUGAGCGUGUUUACGUUCGUGCUCGGUCUUUGAACGAUUGUCAUUUUGCAAUUUGCAAAUUGAAAGUAAUGUUAUUGUUGAUAUUGUGCCACAUGGGCGGGAAAGUACGUAAAAAACUAUAGUCUUGUAUACAAUGUGCAGUGCAUAGGAACCAGAAUGUUUGUCAUAUUUUCAAUACUAGUCAUAUGUCAUGCGCAAUAUGAAAUUUAUGAAUUGCGUAAAAUAAUAAAAUGUGUGGAAACAAUCGAUUCAUUAUUUAUUAAAAAAAUACAUUGGAGACAGAUUCAUCAAAAUAUUUGUUUUAACAAAUGCCAUUCGGUACACAAAGUGUGUGUGUGUGUUUGUGUUCCUAGAAACGUCAAAGGAAUUUAUAUGUUUAUUAGUUUUAGAUUAAGCAUAGAAAGAAGACUGUCCACUUUUGAUGAUCAUAGCUGCCGUAAACGCUACUCCCGUACUGGUUGGUGGAUUGGUUGGAAAUGUGUCGGUUGUUUAUCACUUUCUUGGUGCCUGUUGUUGGUGGAUUCACAAACCAAUUGCUUUCAGAUUAAUUUUGAAAAUGAGAUUGUACGUUUGACGGAGACAAUUUAGAAUAAUCUAUUGGACCGUUUUCUGUGUAAAUUUCAGUAAGUUGCAUCAAUUUGAGAAAUGAAUUGUUCUCCAAGUGGUCUUCACAACCAGUUCAAGUACUUAAAAUGUUGCCUUUCAUUUCGUCUUUUUACGCUUUUCAAAAUGGAAAAAUUCACCUAGGUAACAGGCUGAACGAUUGUAAUGGUAAAUUUAUCAAAUAAAUCAUGUCGUUGUAGGUAUCGAAAAGCCCAUUCGAACUAUUGAUAGAACGGGAAAACCGGUAUGAGAACCAAUUUAACUACCAAAGAAUUGGCACAGGUGAAAACAAGAGGUAGACUUAUGAAAACUGAUUUAAUAACUAAGGCGGACAAAGCUUUGAGCAAGUUAAAACUUUUAUUUUUUUCUGCGUAUCGAUUUUGAGUUUAAUCCAUGAAAGAAAGUUUACGAAAUGAAACACAAACAUAUUAUGUCGCAUAGUAGAAAGAUAACUUCUGAGAAAAAUAUAGCAUAAAUACAAACUUCAUAGAUACCUAAGAAGAACAAUAAAGCGGCACCUGGAGACUGAUUGGAGAAAUAGAGAAUCAUGCAAAUAGUUUGCUGUAACAAGUACGCGUCUGUGUUAGUUCAAACGUUGAAAGUAUGGCACAAUGCACUUUGCCCCCUUAGGUGGCGUUGUAUUGUUUACUAUUUUCAUGAUCAGAAAGGCUGGAAUGUUUAUCAUUUGUACAGGCUGUUUUUAUUAACAUAUUUAGGCGAAACAAUGGAUUAUCCAAAUUACGUUUUAUUGUAUAAUAAUUGUAAUUGUAAUUGUAUUAUCGUAUACUAAGCAGUACGUAUCAACGUGUAUGAUUCGUAUCGAAAACCAACUUAAAAUAUUUGCAGAACUAAGCAAUAAAAAAUUGUAGUCGAUCAAAUCCAUAACUCUUGUUUAAUUGAUUUUUGGCAUCAAUUUCUCCUUUCUUUUAUUCGUUUGAAUGGAAUUUUACCGAUACCGAUAUGACUUAGUUGAUGAAUUCACCAUUAUAGACACAUAAUCUAUGUGAUAGCUUAGCGAAUUUUUAACAAAAAAGAUGUGUUCUGAAAAAAGAUGAAAUGAAAGACAAUACGUUUUAGCUGCUUGUUGUGAAGGCUGACAAUUUAAUACUCAAAUUACUGCAAUUUAUAAAAAUUCUGUGUGUACAUAUAUGCAACAAAAAUUGGUGUCUCGAUGAAAUAUUUUAUAUUUUCUCCUUUAACUGUACAAUCUCACUCGCAAAAUAUGUCACAAAUCAAUUGCUUCCACUUCCUUUGGAACUUUCUACAUGUCCACCAGUACAUGGUCUAAUGCCAACCUUAGGCACAUUAUGAAGCCAAGCUCUUUGAUCGUUCGAUGCAGGAGCAGCGUAAACGGCAGCUACAAUCAACAAAAUUGCGAAAAAUAUGAUGAAUUUCAUCGUGAUUUGAAUUGGUUUUUUUUUUAUUGUUUCUUCAAACUGAUCGUUUCAAAGGACGUGGAAAAUUUGGUAGUUGUGCCACAGAUUCAACUGCCUUUUAUACUAAAUCGGAAGCCAUUGAACAAACAAAAGUAUUUGUUGUCGUUUCUAGCAGCACAAACACACACCUCACACACCAAUUGGUUAUUAAUUUAAACAAAUGUUUUGAUACCGAAUCGGAUGUUUUUAGAAAUGUUAUCAUUUUUCGCGGUACGUAAAUCCCGAGAUACGUAAUGCGUAUAAUAUUUACAUAUGUAGAAGCUGUUAUUGAAAAUCGGAAGAAUAACCUACCUCCUAGGUUUAGUACCGUAUUUCUUUUUUUUUAUAGAAUAUGCACAUUCCAAGAACCAUGGUUCGUCACUACUUACACAUGUGAGAAAGCUCUUGGCAUUGAGUACAGAAUAUACUAGACAGCUUUAGAAGAUUUUCUCAUAUGUGACAAUAUCUACAACGAAAGAACCGUUCCUGAUUUUUUUUUUAAACCAUACUCAAAAGACGUAUUUCUUCUAAAUAAUAUUUUAGUUUAAAAAAAGAGAAAAUCAUGACAAGAAAAAUGGUAAAAUGUUGGCUGCAGAGUCCAAAGCAUUGUUAUUGAUUUCAAAUUGAUUUCAGCGUCAUUUGAACAACAUAUGAAAAUGAAAACUGAUAAUUUAACUUCAAGACACUCACGAAUAUAGAUUGAUUACCUUUUUUUAGAUGAAAAUUGCAAACCACACAGAUCCCCAUAUUACAUUAUGUAAUUGGCCGUACGGCCGUUAAAUGUAUAUUGCCUUUUUACCAAUAAAUAGUAAGGAAUAAAGAAUAAAGAACAUUGUUUAAAAAAUGCUUCUACAAAUUAUGAGCAUAAAAAAUAGAGACAAGCCAGUCUGUCAUUCAUUGAAUAAACUUUUCUAAUGAAAUUCAAGGUCAUUUAAUAUGAUACCGAUGAAAAAAAGUACGCUGUUAAGAACGAUUGCGUAGAUUAAGGGUACGUAAAAAUCAGAAUAUUUGUCAUAUUCCAAAAAUUUCUUCAAUAUGUGUAAAUAUUAUGAAAUUUGGAAUUUAUGAAUCGUACCAUAAUAAAAAACAACGUCAGAUUCAAUAUUAAAUAUAUAGAAUGGAAGCAGAUUUAUCAAAACAAUUGUUUAAACAAAUACCAUUUCGUACACAAAGUGUGUGUUUGUGUUGCUAGAUACGUCAGAGGAUUUUUUGUUUCAUCCAUGGCUCUAAAUUUGAUGUAAAAAGGUAAUUGAAUCUAAGGCACAACCACCAGAUUGUCAACAUUUUUUGAAUCAAUAAGUUUGAAGAAAUCGAACACGACGAUAUUCGUUGUAGUAUCGCAGUGUAAUUGAUUGUAAUAGAUAUUCUCGCUGAUCCAGGAUUGAUUGGUGAUGCUUUAUAUGGAGUUGUGGCUUUAAAGUCCAUAUAAAAAAAAACUCUAGUGUCAUCUUACCGCACAGCUGCUGCUAAAAUCAUCGCCGUCGUCAAAUGACUGUACCACCGAAGUGAUGUUGAUUUUUCACAACAGAAGCGAUACAAUAUCGUUUGCUGCAUCAGUCGUAAAUUGAAGUGGUGGAAUAGUGGACAAGAGUGUGAUAAAUUUCGCUGUUGUGCCAACUAUGCAACAAAUGCAUAAAAUAAGUAUAACUGUUUCGCUCGUCCGAAAUGACAACGAUAACGACGAUAACUCUGGCUGCCUCAUUACUAUAUCGAUGGAUGGAUGGAUGGAAGCAACAAAAACAACAUUCGAAUGUCGCAGAUGAACAUCAUCAUCAUCAUCAUCAUCAUUGUAAGAGUGAUAACAACAAUAACAACAGUUGAAGCAGUUCCAGUAACCAGCGGCUGUAGCAGUUGGAACAGCAGCAGCAGCAGCAGUAGCAACAACAUUGAUUAUUAGCUUUUAAUUCAAAAAAUAUAUAAUUAGAUUUUAAGAAUAGUUGUAUUCUACGGAGUUUCAUGGCCAGCUUGAAUAGUUGUACUAUUCUUGCAGCACAGGACUCAUUAUUAUUCGCGUGUUCCAUUUUUGAGAGUAUGUUUUUGAAUUACUUGAUACAUUCAGAGGUCUAACUUCAGAAUAGUUUUUACUUUUGGACAUUUUCGCAAAUACAUGCGUGCAUUAUGCACAAGCUUGCCUUCUUUGUCAAUUUUUACAGUUGAGUUCACGAACUUACGUAAGUACGCACGAAGAAAGAAAGCUGAAUCUAUGUUAAUUCAACGGGUAUAAAUAAAAAAGAAUUUCAUUCGAUUCUGUUAUAUUUGCGCAAAAAUA